UAGAGUUUUGAUCAUGGCUCAGAUUGAACGCUGGCGGCAGGCCUAACACAUGCAAGUCGGGCGGUAGCACAAGGGAGCUUGCUCCCUGGGUGACGAGCGGCGGACGGGUGAGUAAUGUCUGGGAAACUGCCUGAUGGAGGGGGAUAACUACUGGAAACGGUAGCUAAUACCGCAUAACGUCGCAAGACCAAAGAGGGGGACCUUCGGGCCUCUUGCCAUCGGAUGUGCCCAGAUGGGAUUAGCUAGUAGGUGGGGUAAAGGCUCACCUAGGCGACGAUCCCUAGCUGGUCUGAGAGGAUGACCAGCCACACUGGAACUGAGACACGGUCCAGACUCCUACGGGAGGCAGCAGUGGGGAAUAUUGCACAAUGGGCGCAAGCCUGAUGCAGCCAUGCCGCGUGUGUGAAGAAGGCCUUCGGGUUGUAAAGCACUUUCAGCGGGGAGGAAGGGAGCAGGCUUAAUACGUCUGUUCAUUGACGUUACCCGCAGAAGAAGCACCGGCUAACUCCGUGCCAGCAGCCGCGGUAAUACGGAGGGUGCAAGCGUUAAUCGGAAUGACUGGGCGUAAAGCGCACGCAGGCGGUCUGUUAAGUUGGAUGUGAAAUCCCCGGGCUUAACCUGGGAACUGCAUUCAAAACUGACAGGCUAGAGUCUCGUAGAGGGGGGUAGAAUUCCAGGUGUAGCGGUGAAAUGCGUAGAGAUCUGGAGGAAUACCGGUGGCGAAGGCGGCCCCCUGGACGAAGACUGACGCUCAGGUGCGAAAGCGUGGGGAGCAAACAGGAUUAGAUACCCUGGUAGUCCACGCUGUAAACGAUGUCGAUUUGGAGGUUGUGCCCUUGAGGCGUGGCUUCCGGAGCUAACGCGUUAAAUCGACCGCCUGGGGAGUACGGCCGCAAGGUUAAAACUCAAAUGAAUUGACGGGGGCCCGCACAAGCGGUGGAGCAUGUGGUUUAAUUCGAUGCAACGCGAAGAACCUUACCUACUCUUGACAUCCAGAGAAGCCUGCAGAGAUGCGGGUGUGCCUUCGGGAGCUCUGAGACAGGUGCUGCAUGGCUGUCGUCAGCUCGUGUUGUGAAAUGUUGGGUUAAGUCCCGCAACGAGCGCAACCCUUAUCCUUUGUUGCCAGCACUUCGGGUGGGAACUCAAGGGAGACUGCCGGUGAUAAACCGGAGGAAGGUGGGGAUGACGUCAAGUCAUCAUGGCCCUUACGAGUAGGGCUACACACGUGCUACAAUGGCGUAUACAAAGAGAAGCGACCUCGCGAGAGCAAGCGGACCUCAUAAAGUACGUCGUAGUCCGGAUUGGAGUCUGCAACUCGACUCCAUGAAGUCGGAAUCGCUAGUAAUCGUAGAUCAGAAUGCUACGGUGAAUACGUUCCCGGGCCUUGUACACACCGCCCGUCACACCAUGGGAGUGGGUUGCAAAAGAAGUAGGUAGCUUAACCUUCGGGAGGGCGCUUACCACUUUGUGAUUCAUGACUGGGGUGAAGUCGUAACAAGGUAACCGUAGGGGAACCUGCGGUUGGAUCACCUCCUUACCGAGUAGAAGUGCCUGCGUGGUGUCCACACAGAUUGUCUGAUGAUAAGAAAGAGUCAAAAGCGUCUUGCGAAGCUGACAAGUGAUGUCCCCUUCGUCUAGAGGCCCAGGACACCGCCCUUUCACGGCGGUAACAGGGGUUCGAAUCCCCUAGGGGACGCCAAUGACUGACGGUGGGUGAAAGGCACGGUCAACGCUAACCUAAAACUGAUUAGAGAUAGUCAGGUUUAUGUUAUCUGCUCUUUAACAAUCCGGAACAAGCUGAAUAAUUUGAAACGACGGCAUAUGAAUGUGAAUUCAUGUGUUGUUCGAGUCUCUCAAAAUACUCGCAUCCCGAGACACUUUCGGGUUGUGAGGUUAAGCGA
RNAcentral lists this ribosomal RNA (1901 nucleotides) under Dickeya chrysanthemi. RNAcentral describes it as "bacterial SSU rRNA". The stretch from base 1 to 1537 matches the Rfam family "Bacterial small subunit ribosomal RNA". Lineage: Bacteria; Pseudomonadati; Pseudomonadota; Gammaproteobacteria; Enterobacterales; Pectobacteriaceae. The record is from RNAcentral.